UCGUAGAGUUCUAUAUAUUUAUGUUUUUGAUUUUAUUGGCUUUAAUUGGAGAAAUUACUUUACUGAAGUUUAAAUGGCAUACUGUGAACAUGAAGAAGACGACUUUUAGAUUUGUCAAGUUCAGAUUUCCUCUGGUCGAUACCAAUGACGGACGGUGAUUUUAAUCCUGGCUGGUAAAUAUGAAGAAGACGGCUGUCGAAUUCUUUAACAUAACAACGCCUUUGCCUGAUUCUGAAGACGGUUAUUUUGAGAGUGGUUGGUUCGGAUCUGUUUUAAUUGUUGUGCUCUUUUUUAUUUGUUUCAAAUUUGGACGUGAUUUCAUCAGAAAAAUACGUGAGUUUAGGUUGAGACAUUGUGACUGCUCUUGUGAUCAGUGUCUGGAAUCAUGUACUUGUACAUGUUGUAUAGAUGUGAUUACGUCAAAAUGCUCUGCAGCUUGUGAACGUAUAAGAUUCUUUGUUAGAGGUAAUAACAAUGAAAGGACAAACACAGAACACGUAUCAACCCCGCCGGUUACACUUGAUGUUCCAUUCAAUCAAGCUACAAAUACAGACGAACACAUUAACAACAAUGUCCAAAAUUACCCAGUUAGUCCCGAACCACCCCCAUCCUACGAAACAGUUGUCUUUAACCAGUUUCAAUCACCUCCUAGUUACGAAGAAGUUAUGAGGUGAAUUGUUUUAAAUGAUUUAUUUCUUAUCAUUCUAAGAUUUGUACUGAUGUCCAAAAUUUUAAGUUUUGACGGCGCAACACGUAUGUGGAAUGUAUAAUACUAUAAUUAUAAUGAUAUAAAGCUAUCCAUAAUUUGGUCAUGAUAUCUAUAUUAACUAUUCCUCGCUUUCCAUACAUGUUACUGAUAUUCUUCAACUACUGGACACAUAAUUAUUGGUAACCAUUUUUUAUACUUCUGUUCCAAGUUAUGAUACCAGUUGUUCUUAUUUUUUCAUCAGUGCUUUAGGUAGAACAUAUUUAGUGAGGGUGACAAGAGUCUUUUAGGGGUGUAUCUUAACCAUCUUCAAGGUUUUGAUCUUGGCCUUUUGCCCAUAUGUUCAUAUAUAGUUAUAUAAAUAAAUUAAAUCAUUAAAGAUAAUUUAUUCAUUUAAAUCUUUAUCUGAAAUUGAACAAAUAAUGAAUAAAAUCAUCAAUUGUCAUGUUAUAUUUAUAAAUGCUUUUACCCCCAUCAUGUUUUAGAUGAAAUAUUAUGCGAGUUAAUGCAUAAGGGAAAGAUGGAAUGUAAAACAUAAGUGCAACGAAGUAUUUUUGAAAUGUAUAUAGUUUAUAAUUGACAGUAUGAAUAAAAUUUGUGAUUAUAAAAAGAGAUGAAAGUAAUAUUUUGGCAAUCAAGUUCCAAUUUUCUUCUUUUGGCGUGUUUAAGCGGAGUAGAACCCGCUCACUUUUUAUUUAUCUACAUGUAUUUUAUUUAUUUGUUUCAAUAUGUGCAGUUAUAUAGGAGAAAGUAUGUGGGCAAAAAUGUGCGGUUGAAUUUCUUUCAUAUUUGUAUGCUAGAACAAAACAUCAAAGUUUCAAAACAAUUGAAUUUGAGGAAAAUUUUGGUCUAUCUAUUGUGUACUAUCUUAAAUCAUUUGUUUCAGCAACAGCAAUAUAGGAAAAGGUAAAUAAAGGCAAUUUGAAUUCAAAUGAUAAAACGUUAAAAUAAAACACCCAUGUUCAAUAGAAAGUAUGUUUCCUUAUGAAUCAACACUUUAUUAUAAAUAAAGAUUAUAAAAAUGGAA
RNA transcript from Saccostrea echinata, 1733 nucleotides. RefSeq lists it as uncharacterized. The transcript is spliced from 3 exons. Lineage: Eukaryota; Metazoa; Mollusca; Bivalvia; Ostreida; Ostreidae. The record is from RefSeq and is a predicted model, not a curated record.